GGCAGGGGUGCACGAGUGGGUGAGGGGUGCAGGCUCUGGGCGACACUUACCAUGAGGGGCUCCCCGGAAGCAGCAACAUGUUCCUAGGCAGAGGCACAGUCAGGCAGCUCUGUGUGCUUUCUCUGCCCACAGGCAUUGCCCCAGAAGCUCCCGUUGGCUGUGGUUCCCGGCCAAUGGGAGGUGCAGAGCUGGUGUUCGGGGCGGGGGCAGCAUGUGGAGCCCCCUGGCUGUGUCCUCGCCUAGGAGCCAAGGGACAUGUUGCCACUUCCAGGGAGCCACACAGAGCCAUGUAGCGAGCCUGCCAGACCCCCAACUGGACUUUUCUCUGCUGACUGGAGCCACCAGGGUCCCUUUUCGACCAGGUGUGCUGGUCAAAAACCGGACACCUGGCAACUCAAGCUGUCCCUGGUCGGGCUAGUGUGUGCAAGAUGGAGACCUCUGCAUGGAAGGGACUCCUGUCUGGGAGCGUGCAAGCUGCUUGCACACACUAGCGUGACCAGGGACACCUGCCAGUGAGCCUGGGGCCCUCCUCAGUAGGCAGGGCUAGAGUCAAGCUCUUUAUGAUGGAAGCUAACUCCUUAGGGUUAAGGCAUGCCCCUCCUGUGCUGCUUCUGUGUCCCUCAAUGGUGGACACUCUUUUUCCAGUUGGAUUUAGAAGUCUAGAGAUGCCCGAAUACAGUUACUAUUUCUGAAAUGCUCUGACACCUUCCUUGGGCAUGGAGGAGAAUGUAGCUAAGGCCUAGUCUUCCCUCCAGUCCCUUCUGGCUGGUGUCCCCGCGAGCCAGGAUUCCACCUUGAGCUCCAGGGCUGAGAUGUCUGAGGUCCCAGUUGCCAACUUCAGUCCAUAUGUUGACUUCUUUAAGCAGGUUUAGGAAGGAGCAUCACUCCAGAGAUGAGCCUACACAUGUAGAUCCCCCCCCUCCAGGACCUUUAGGCUGAGACCCAAGAAUUGACAUGUUUGGCUGCAAAGCUUACGACUAGUCUAUGGGCAGCCAGUAGUCUAAGAUGGGUCCCUUUGGCGCCUUAUUACUGGCCAUGAAAAAAAUUGCUUGUACUGGCUAAAUCCACUGACUGCCUUUUCUCUGACACACCUCUUUGGCACUCUUGGUAGCCGGCAUGUCAGUACUGUUGUUUUCGGUACCUGUGGCCUAUUUUGCACCAACAGACCUGUCUGUAGGCCUGAUACAGCUAUGCUUUAUGUCAACAGACAGGGUGGGGCCAGGUCAUCUCUGCUCUGUCAGGCCAUUUGGCUGUUGACUUGCUGCAUAUUUGUCACUGGUUCAUAUCACUAGCCCUUGCAGACAUUCAGACAGAACUUACUAGUAGAUCACCUCAGCAAGCAGUUCACAGACAACCAUGUGUGGUCAGUUAAGGACCCGGUGUUGCAGAGCAUCUUUUGCAAGGGGGGAUACCAAUCAAUAGCAUAUUUGCCACAGACCAGAACAAGAAAUCCCAAGUGUUCUGCUCCAGAGAAGGCUCCAAUCCAGGAUGCUUUUCUUACCCUCUGUACACAGGGACUGAUAUAUGCUUUGCCCCUGGUUCCUGUGAGACCGAGGGUCCUGAGGAAAAUGAGUCAAGAUGCUGGACUGAUUAUCAUGAUGGGCCAAGCAGUUCUGGUAUUCGGAUCUGAUGAACUAUUCAGUGCAGCCCCCGAUCUCUUACCUGCUGAGUCUGACAUUGUCACACAAAACAUCCCGGGAGGCUAGAUCCACCCCUAGACCCAGUCUACUUAUGUUUGACAGCCUGGAUGCUGGCUGGCUGAUGUACACCAUAAGGUGUUCUCCUGAGGGUCAGAACAUUCUGCUCCAAAGCAGAAAAGCCUCAGCUAGAAUGACUGACUUAUAAAACCAAGUGGUGGUUUUCUGUUUGGACAUCUGAGCACCCAUUUCAUUUCACUGGACACCCAUUUCAACAAUACAGAACUAUUUACUAUCAGAAACAUUCUGGGCUUUUUGUCAGCCCCAUAUGGAUCUACCUAGCAAUAAUAUCUCUAUUCUGGGGCUUUCUGUUAGCUCCAUAAAGAUCUAUCUAGCAGUAAAAUCUGCAUGUCAGGCCAUACUGUAUUUUCUCACCCUAUACUGGCUAUGUUCCUUAAGGACUUUAUUCAUGCUUUUUCACCCAAUUCAGGAGCCUGCCCUGGGACCUUCCUCUUGGGAUCUCAAUAUAGUAUUAACAAGGUUGAUCGUUCCCCACUUUGAACCUUGUAUACCGUCUAUCACUGAAGACUGCCUUUUUAGUAGUCAUUACAUCAGCUUGAGUAGGGGAGAUGCAGUCUUUUGUGGGGGGCUUCCCCUUAUAUACACAGUUUCAUAAGGACAGGCUUACUCUGAGGCCUCAUCCCAAGUUCCUGCCCAAAGUAGUUUUGGAAUUCCAUAUGAAGCAAUUUAUUCAUCACCAAGUUUCCUUCCCAAGCCUCACUCAAUCCCCUGGGAAGUUAAACUUCAUAUGCUUGAUGUAUUAAGGGCAUUGUCAUACUACUUUCACAAGACAACAACUUUCAGGAACACACCUAGCCAGUUUGUGAUCUUUGGUGAUAGGAUUAAGGGUCAGGCAAUAACCUCCCAUUGAUUAUCAAAAUGGGCGUUCACCUGUAUAAGGACAGAUUUAUACGAGCUGAGAAGAAACCGGAGUAUAGGUAGACUAGAUCCACCUAGCCACAUUAGAGCUCAUUCCACUACUGCUCAGGCAGCUUCUGCUGCCUUUGUUUGAAGAAUGUACCAGUAGUCAAAUCUGCAGCACAGCUAUGUGGUACUUGGUCCACACAAACAACGAGGAGUGCGGUGGCACUUUAAAGACUAACUGAUUUAUUUGGGCAUAUGCUUUUGUGAGUAAAAAAAACCACGAAAGCUUAUGCCCAAAUAAAUCUGUUAGUCUUUAAGGUACCACCGGACUCCUCGUUUUUGUGGUUACAGACUAACAUGGCUACCCCUCUGAUACUUGGUCCACGCAAUUUCAAGACACUGUUCUUUAGUAGAGGCUUCCAGAUCGCAUUCCUGUUUUGGUAGAGCUGUCCUGCUAUUCACACUACACGUCCAUCUUCAAAAGGACUUGGCUGUUGGCAAUAAGAAAUGAGGCAGUUGUGGGAUUCACUGCCUCUUGUCACCUCAGCUCCUGAGCAUUUGUUGCUGUGAGUGGAUACUUGUGUAGUCCCAGUGGGUGCUGUUUUUCUAGCAGGUUCUUGGUCAGCUAUACCAGGGGAUUAUCUAGCGACAGUUCCAUUAUUUUACUGACUUCCUCCUAAAAAGGGUGUUUAUAAUGAGGCCUUGUAAACAUAAGCUGGGGCAACACCAGACGUCCAGCACUUGAUCUGCAGUAACACUCCCAUAUGAUAUAAUCAUGUAUGGAUUCAGUAAAACUUAUGAUCUGCGUUAUACGAAUAUCUGUGAAGCCCAGAGCCCUAGCGUAUUUCUGUAUAUUACCAAUUACCAGUCUGAAAAAAAAUCUUAAAAUUAGUUUAAAAUUUAAAUUGUUUUUUUUUUCUGUAGAAUGUUCUAUUCUCAACUUUAGAAAUGUGUAAAAGUUUUUUGCGGUAAUAUAUUUUUAUAUACAAAAUAUUUAAAUAUUUGUACAUUUCCCCCCAUUCUUAACAUGCAGGUGAAACCAUCUCAGCUUGUUAAUUAUUUACAGCAGAAGAAAACUGAAGGCUACACCAUCAUAGGUGUGGAGCAAACUGCUAAAAGUUCUGACUUGACUGAAUACUGCUUUCCAGAGAAAUCCUUGUUAUUGCUGGGAAAUGAACAUGAGGGAAUCCCAGCAAACCUGAUUCAACAUCUGGAUGUUUGUGUGGAAAUUCCUCAGCAGGGUAUCAUUCGAUCACUGAAUGUUCAUGUAAGUGGAGCACUGCUGAUUUGGGAGUAUACAAGGCAACAACUGAUCAAGCAAAAACAACUGAAAUAACUGCAAGAGUCUUGUGCCUUAUUUGUAAUGCAGCUGGAUGGCUUUUUAUGGUGCUGUAAAAUAUGUUUUUAAACACAUGGAAUAAUUACAGACUCAGGGUGAAUGACUAUGUUUUUAAAUUUUGCAUGUCAUACAACGGUAUUAUGUAGUACAAAAAUUGUUUUUAAAUGCCUUAACGUGUAUUAUCUGAUUGUAUACAACUGUUUUAUUGGUAAUAAAUAGUCUUAUUUGUAUAGUG
Molecule: non-coding RNA, 4135 nt
Organism: Chrysemys picta bellii (western painted turtle)
Lineage: Eukaryota; Metazoa; Chordata; Testudines; Emydidae
Source: RefSeq, a predicted model, not a curated record